GCGAGAGCGUGGACGAGAGAACAACACACUGGUAGUAGGAUUCGCUACAGUAACGCUGGUUGUGGAAUGUAAUAAAAUGACGGAGAAGAGAAAAACGGACAUAAGAUCCUUUUUCAGUACACCAAAACGCAAAAUGGGAUGGACAUUUUGACUUACCCUGUGAUGUCACAAUUAGGAGCAUUCAAUCAGCUACUUGUGGAUUUGUAGGCUCCUAUUGCUCCUAUGAGGACAGAGGGAACAGCCAUGACCAGGCAGCCUGCAGCAGCAAUGAAGGAUAGAACCUGGGCGUAG
Esox lucius (northern pike) is the source of this 291-nucleotide long non-coding RNA. RefSeq lists it as uncharacterized. NCBI's taxonomy places the organism in Eukaryota, Metazoa, Chordata, Actinopteri, Esociformes, Esocidae. The record is from RefSeq and is a predicted model, not a curated record. The transcript has 4 exons.